UUUGCUUUCUUAUGUUUGCAACUUUGUGAC
RNAcentral lists this non-coding RNA (30 nucleotides) under Mus musculus (house mouse). RNAcentral also lists the same sequence under 1 other name. Lineage: Eukaryota; Metazoa; Chordata; Mammalia; Rodentia; Muridae. The record is from RNAcentral.